GCGGGCCGUGAGAGCGGGAGCCCGGAGAUGGGCACUGAGACAAGGGCCCAGGUCCUACGGGGCGCAGCAGUCGCGAAAACUUUGCAAUAAGCGAAAGCUUGACAGGGCUAUCCCGAGUGCCAUCCGCUGAGGAAGGCUUUUACCCAGUCUAGAACGCUGGGGGAAUAAGGAGAGGGCAAGUCUGGUGUCAGCCGCCGCGGUAAUACCAGCUCUCCGAGUGGUGUGGAUGUUUAUUGGGCCUAAAGCAUCCGUAGCUGGCUAGGUCAGUCCCUUGUUAAAUCCACCGAAAUUAAUCGUUGGAUUGCGGGGGAUACUGCUUGGCUAGGGGACGAGAGAGGCAGACGGUAUUUUCGGGGUAGGGGGGGAAAUCCUAUAAUCCCGGGAAGACCACCCAGGU
This 397-nucleotide ribosomal RNA is filed under the name uncultured crenarchaeote. RNAcentral's name for it is "bacterial SSU rRNA". It matches the Rfam family "Archaeal small subunit ribosomal RNA", at positions 268 to 666 of the family's 1478-position model. The record is from RNAcentral. Lineage: Archaea; Thermoproteati; Thermoproteota.